This is a long non-coding RNA of Herpailurus yagouaroundi (jaguarundi), 1943 nucleotides long. RefSeq lists it as uncharacterized. Lineage: Eukaryota; Metazoa; Chordata; Mammalia; Carnivora; Felidae. The transcript has 5 exons. The record is from RefSeq and is a predicted model, not a curated record.
CCUGCAGGUUCUCCUGCUUUUCUGCGUCUUGUCCCUGUCCGCGCUAGCCCAGCUUGGGCCUGGCCACUAACACAUGGGGCCAUAGCAGAUGGCACAGGGGACCGGUUCCUGUGAGCCGUGGGGGCAGCAGACAGGAGAGGCCUGUGGGUUUGGGAGCAGAAGGGGCCCAGCGUGCAUUACCGCGCGGUCAGUGACGCCAAGGGGCUGUGGAGGAGAACUGGAGGAGCGAGAUCCGUGGGUCUCCUGCUCUCCAAUGCCCUGACCACGCUCCACGGCACUGAAGCCGGGACCAGAGGGCCAAGGGAUCAGUCAUCCCGAACUCUUCAGUGCCAGGGAGCUCAGCGCUCACAGAAGCAGCCCGUUCUGGGUUUGGAAACCGGUGUCUCCUGGAAAGAACAGACAGGGGACAAACUCCUAUUCAUCCCUCAAAGCCCAGCUCAGAGGUACCUUCUCACGGGAAGCCCUUCACAGCUCUCUGCCUAGAGACCUGCCGUGGCACCGAGCCCACCAUCUGUUCUAAAGUGAUUCCUGCACCCCCAAUCCUGUGUCUAACGAACCUGACAUUCAGAGGAAAUGUCUUCGGGAAAGGUCACCAGAGGGAGGCGGCGUUCUCGCUGACAGCACCUGUCCUUCCGGCACGGGCAGACUCUCCUUCAAGACAAGUGCCUGUGCUCCUGUCCCUCGGAGCUGCCCCUCCCCACCAGCUGCCUCUGCUCCUUCAACCCUUCAUCUGGAAAGACACGGCUCAGGACCCGCCUCAUUUGUCUGUUCAUGGUCCCUACUGGCCAUUGAGACACAGGGACGACUCCGAUCCCAGCCCUACCUGGCAGGGCACCCGGGAGGGCAGAUCCUGAGAUCACGGCUCAGGGGCGGGAAAGAGACGAGGCGGGCAAGGGAGGCAGACCCUCGUGAUGAGACGUCACGUGCCCUGCGCUCAGAAGUUUGACCUUCGUCCUGAGGACAAUGCCUAUGUGAUUGUGUGAAUGGCGCCCGUGAGCCAGGAAGCACUACGAGGCAGGAAGGGCGUCUGAUUUUGUCCCUAUUGUACUGCCAGCACCAGCACAGCUGGCCCAGAGAAGGUGAAUCAUUGCUUAAAAUGCAAACAUUCCCAAGUCCUGGCUCAGCUUGCCCCCUCCCCAUCCGUGUGCCCGAGGAGCAGUAAUUGUGCGGGGAUGCAAGUGCUCAUUACAUGAACAGAGGGCAGCGUGGGACAUAAAUCUAGAAAAUUGAAAGAUUGGCCCCUUCCAGGAACGGGAACCAUGGUCACCAGCAACUCCUGCCUCACGUGUUCCCUGAUUCAUCGUCUUCCUUUGGUUCUGAUUGGCCAAACCUCAGGGGGUGACUUAUCCUCUGGAGUUGGGUUAUGCCCUGCCCAUGUGGCCAGGGGGCGGGAGCAUCCUCUGACUGACAGCCAGGGCUGCAUGCUGGCCUGGGGGGAGGAGGGUUCUCCAGAUGAAGGGCUUUCUCUUAGGGAGGCAUAGAUGGGCACUGAGCAGACACAACAAUAUGCAUCUGCCACGGCCACGGUUGUGUGUGACAGUGUCCCUUUGGUACAAGGGCCCCUGCCAUUUCUCAGAUUCACGAGCUGACCUUCAGGGCCCAGGUUAGCAACCUUCGUCCCCACCUCCCUUUCUGAAAUGAAGGGGUAGCAUCCCAGGAGGACGACAACCUGCCUCUCCACCUUAAGUCGCCCUCCCCUCUGAUCCCGUCAUGUGAUGAAGGGGUCACCACGAGCUACAGUCUUAGCUGGAGGGCAUGAGAGGAGAGGAGAGGCCUGACUACCUCACUGAGGUCUCAAUUAAGAUCGGCAAUAAGGAAUCAUUGCAAAUGCUCUGCUCAAGAUGCAUUGUAAAGAGUGAUUCACUCUGUGCCCAUUUCCUGCUAGCCCUGAAAGCUAAGCAGGGGCUGCCUGUGCCGCAAUAAAUGUCACUAUAUGAGCAUUA